GGGGCGGUAGCUCAGUCGGUUAGAGCCCCGGACUCAUGAUCCGGCGGGAGAGCCUCAGUCGAGUCCGCGGGCGAUGAGCGCCUCG
This 85-nucleotide transfer RNA is filed under the name Mycolicibacterium austroafricanum. RNAcentral describes it as "tRNA-Met". The record is from RNAcentral. Lineage: Bacteria; Bacillati; Actinomycetota; Actinomycetes; Mycobacteriales; Mycobacteriaceae. RNAcentral also lists the same sequence under 1 other name.